Molecule: long non-coding RNA, 351 nt
Filed under: Mytilus galloprovincialis (Mediterranean mussel)
Lineage: Eukaryota; Metazoa; Mollusca; Bivalvia; Mytilida; Mytilidae
Source: RNAcentral
UAUUUUUUUUUUUUAUUCGUGAUAGAGACACCGACCAAUAGGGAGUGGGUUAGGGGAUUUUUUUUUUUAUUCGUGAUAGAGACACCGACCAAUAGGGAGUGGGUUAGGGGAUAUUUUUUUUUUAUUCGUGAUAGAGACACCGACCAAUAGGGAGUGGGUUAGGGGAUAUUUUUUUUUUUCGUGAUAGAGACACCGACCACGUGUAUAUCUGUUGUAUAUAUCUGUAUAUAGUAUUACUUAUUUAUUCUGCAUGUAUAGAGUUAGGGAUAGGCCUAUGAGUGGGGGUUAUCGUGUUCUACCAUGCAGCGAGUGCCAUGUUGAAGAGUGCACUGCUGUGGUGGUACUUCACGG